Clupea harengus (Atlantic herring) is the source of this 385-nucleotide long non-coding RNA. Lineage: Eukaryota; Metazoa; Chordata; Actinopteri; Clupeiformes; Clupeidae. The record is from Ensembl.
UGGGGUAUUGUGCACAGAAAAAGUGAAGAAGAGCUUUAUUUUUGAUGGACCUUCUUUUUUAAACCCUAGAAUGAGAAGCAGUGAGAUAAUGUCAGGUCGUGGUCUGUAGUUGAGAUAAUGUCAGGUAGUGUCUGUAGUUGAGAUAAUGUCAGGUAGUGUCUGUAGUUGAGAUAAUGUCAGGUAGUAGUCUGUAGUUGAGAUAAUGGCAGGUAGUGUGUGUAGUUGAGAUAAUGUCAGGUAGUAGUCUGUAGUUGAGAUAAUGGCAGGUAGUGUCUGUAGUUGAGAUAAUGUCAGGUAGUAGUCUGUAGUUGAGAUAAUGUCAGGUAGUGGUCUGUAGUUAUAUGAAUAGAAGCAGUGAGAUAAUAUCAGGUAGUGUCUGUAGUUG